UAUAUCAGUUACCUGAACGCUUCACUUAGACCUCUAUAUAAGGAAAACAUAAACUCCUCUGAUAUCAGCUGGAACUACAGCAAAAACACAGACGGGUCUUACAGAGUCACAUCGUACCUUCACCUGUCUUCAAACAUAAGAGUGUACUACUGCUGGGUGAAUCACUCAACUCUGAGCCAACCCAUCAUUGUUAACAUUUCCUCCACUGAGUGCACUGAGAGAGAAGAGAAAUUAACUGGAUUAGUUGUGCGUUUUUGGGUUGUUGGAAUCCUCUUCGGCUUAUUGAUUGGCAUUGCUUUGUUCAGCAAACUUUACUAUCAACAUCUCACUUCACACCAUCUCUGGUCUACUGCUGAUGCUAUUGUUAUAUCGGAACCUGUCUCAUUCUCUCCGGUUUAGUCUAUCAACAAGAUGAGCUGAAGCAAACACAUUCACUAAAAUAAAGAGCUUUUCACUACUUUGGAAGUGUCAUUACUAUCAUUUAUCAGCUCAGGAUAUUACUCCUUUCUGCCAGCAGACGUCACACAUUCUAGUGCAAUCUCUGCAGCCAUUUCCAGGUCACUGGAAACUCUUGCCAAAUUGAGAUUGUGUAAAUUAUGAGCCUUGUAUUUCUGCUGACUGUCUAUGCUGUAUUUGUUUGGUCUUUGAAUGACCCUUUACCCUGUUUAUACUGUGUCUGCUUUUUCCUGUUUGUGAUUUGACUGUUUAUCUACUCUGGGUUUGGUUUGAUUUCAAGUUUAUAUGACUUGACUUCAUAAUAAAGUGCAUCUGCACAUGUUAGAAGCACCCAAUCUGCAAUCCUGUCAUUAACUAUCUGUCCGU
Ictalurus furcatus (blue catfish) is the source of this 822-nucleotide long non-coding RNA. RefSeq lists it as uncharacterized. The transcript is spliced from 3 exons. The record is from RefSeq and is a predicted model, not a curated record. NCBI's taxonomy places the organism in Eukaryota, Metazoa, Chordata, Actinopteri, Siluriformes, Ictaluridae.